GACGAACGCUGGCGGCGUGCUUAACACAUGCAAGUCGAACGGAAAGGCCCUGCUUUUGUGGGGUGCUCGAGUGGCGAACGGGUGAGUAACACGUGAGUACCCUGUCCCUGACUUUGGGAUAACUUCAGGCAACUGGGGCUAAUACCGGCUAGGAGCUCCUGCUGCAUGGUGGGGGUUGGUAAGUUUCGGCGGUUGGGGAUGGACUGGCGGCGUAUCAGAUUGUUGGUGGGGUAGUGGAUUAGCAAGGCCUUGACGGGUAGCCGGCCUGCGAGGAGAACCGGCCAAGUUAGGAUGGAGAUGAGGCCCAGACUCGUACGGGAGGCGGCAGUGGAGAAUGUAACACAGUAGGAGGGGGCCAAGUGCAGCAACGCCACGUGCGGGGUGACAGCAAUCGGGUUGUAAUCCACUUUCGCCUGUGACGAGGCGAGAAUGACAGUAAUGGGUAAAGAAGCACCGGCUAACUACGUG
RNAcentral lists this ribosomal RNA (468 nucleotides) under uncultured bacterium. RNAcentral's name for it is "partial 16S ribosomal RNA". It matches the Rfam family "Bacterial small subunit ribosomal RNA", at positions 28 to 507 of the family's 1533-position model. The record is from RNAcentral.